This 72-nucleotide transfer RNA is filed under the name Pangasianodon gigas (Mekong giant catfish). Its description in RNAcentral is "tRNA-Glu". It matches the Rfam family "tRNA". From Rfam's summary of the family: Transfer RNA (tRNA) molecules are approximately 80 nucleotides in length. Their secondary structure includes four short double-helical elements and three loops (D, anti-codon, and T loops). Lineage: Eukaryota; Metazoa; Chordata; Actinopteri; Siluriformes; Pangasiidae. The record is from RNAcentral.
UCCCUGGAGGACUAGUGGUUAGGCCAUGGCGCUCUCAUCGCCGCAGCCCAGGUUCAAUUCCCUGCCAGUGAA